CUCAUGGUUUCACGGUAUUGCAAUGAGAACAAUUUAAAACCCUUAGCGAGAAUCAAGUGGAGGACAAGUCUGGUGCCAGCACCCGCGGUAAUUCCAGCUCCACUAGCGUAUAUUAAAGUUGUUGCAGUUAAAAAGCUCGUAGUUGAACCUCUGUCUGGGGCUAGUUUUGGCUUUGGUCAGGCUAGUUCUAGGCAUCCGCCUACAAGACUUAGAGGGCAUUCAGUUGUUCACUAGGAGGAGUAGGCAUUUUACUUUGAAAAAAUUAGAGUGUUUAAGGCAGGCAAUCGCCCGCAUAUAUUAGCAUGGAAUAAUAGAAUAGGACACUUUUCCAUUUCGUUGGUUAUUGGAAUCGUGUAAUAAUUAAUAGGGACAGUUGUGGGCAUUUGUAUUUAAUUGUCAGAGGUGAAAUUCUUGGAUUUAUUAAAGACAAACUAACGCGAAAGCAUUUGCCAAGGAUGUUUUCAUUAAUCAAGAACGAAAGUUAGGGGAUCAAAGACGAUCAGAUACCGUCCUAGUCUUAACUAUAAACUAUUCCGACUCAAUGUUUGACUGGCUUAUAUAACCAGUUGAGCGUUGUAUGAGAUCAAAGUCUUUAGGUUCUGGGGGGAGUAUGGUUGCAAAGCUGAAACUUAAAGGAAUUGACGGAAGAGCACAACCAGGAGUGGAUUCUGCGGCUUAAUUUGACUCAACACGAGGAAACUUACCAGGUUAAAACAAUAGUGGGAUUGACAGUUUGAGAGCGCUUUCUUGAUUGGUUGGGUGGUGGUGCAUGGCCGUUCUUAGUUGGUGGAGUGAUUUGUCUGCUUAAUUGCGUUAACGAACGAGACCUUAACCUGCUUACUAGACUGGCGAUCAUCAAUCGUUAGCUCUUCUUAGAGGGACUUUGGUUGUUUUAACUCCAAGGAAGUUUGAGGCAAUAACAGGUCUGUGAUGCCCUUAGAUAUCCUGGGCCGCACGCGUCAUACAAUGACUAGUUCAGAAAGUUUUCUCCUGACCCGAAAGGGGAUGGGUAAUCUUGAUAAUACUAGUCGUGUUAGGGAUCGAUCUUUGCAAUUAUAGAUCUUGAACGAGGAAUUCCUAGUAAGUGCGGUUCAUCAGACCGUACUGAUUACGUCCCUGCUCUUUGUACACACCGCCCGUCGCUUCUACCGAGUGGGUGGUCCGGUGAGAUAAUUGAACUUCGCAGGUAACUGAGAGGAAAGAUUAUCAAACCUAUCCACCU
Molecule: ribosomal RNA, 1222 nt
Filed under: metagenome
Description: SSU rRNA
Rfam family: Eukaryotic small subunit ribosomal RNA
Source: RNAcentral